UGAGGAAUAUUGCACAAUGGAGGAAACUCUGAUGCAGCCAUGCCGCGUGAGUGAAGAAGGCCUUAGGGUUGUAAAGCUCUUUCAAUGGUGAAGAUAAUGACGGUAGCCAUACAAGAAGCUCCGGCUAAAUUCGUGCCAGCAGCCGCGGUAAUACGAAUGGAGCAAGCGUUGUUCGGAAUCACUGGGCUUAAAGCGUAUGUAGGCGGAAACGAAAGUCAGGAGUGAAAUCCCGGGGCUCAACCCCGGAACUGCUCUUGAAACUUCGUUUCUAGAAUCCUGGAGAGGUUAGGAGAAUUCCGAGUGUAGAGGUGAAAUUCGCAGAUAUUCGGAGGAAUACCAGUGGCGUAGGCGCCUAACUGGACAGGUAUUGACGCUCAGAUACGAAAGCGUGGGGAGCAAACAGGAUUAGAUACCCCCGUAGUCC
Molecule: ribosomal RNA, 424 nt
Filed under: uncultured prokaryote
Description: bacterial SSU rRNA
Rfam family: Bacterial small subunit ribosomal RNA
Source: RNAcentral